This is a long non-coding RNA of Herpailurus yagouaroundi (jaguarundi), 153 nucleotides long. RefSeq lists it as uncharacterized. Lineage: Eukaryota; Metazoa; Chordata; Mammalia; Carnivora; Felidae. The transcript is spliced from 3 exons. The record is from RefSeq and is a predicted model, not a curated record.
GGUAAAGCGUCCGACUUCAGCUCAGGUCAUAAUCUCAGAGUUUGCGAGUUGGAGCACCUCAUCGGGCUCUGUGCUGAGAGCUCAGAGCCUGGAGCCUCCUUAGGAUUCUGUGUCUCCCUCUCCCUCUGCCCCUGCCCCUCUCAUGCUCUCUUU